RNAcentral lists this ribosomal RNA (1224 nucleotides) under Triticum aestivum (bread wheat). Its description in RNAcentral is "partial small subunit ribosomal RNA". Lineage: Eukaryota; Viridiplantae; Streptophyta; Magnoliopsida; Poales; Poaceae. The record is from RNAcentral.
AUGGCGACGAGGGAGACCGAGCGAGGCUCCUCCGGCGGCCUCCCCGAGGACAUGAUCCCGGAGAUCCUCGCCUGCCUGCCGCCCAAGCACCUCCUCCGCUCCCGCGCCGCCUGCAAGGCCUGGCGCAACCUCGCCACCGACCCCGCCUUCAUCGGCAGGCACCACUCCUUCCAGCCACGGCAGCCCCUCGUCUUCACCUACGACGUCGGCGGCUGCCUCCAGGCCGUCGACCUCGCCACCAACAAGCGCCGGGCGGUCCUGCGGGUUAUCCAGAGGGUGCCCGUGCCCCGCCCCUUCGCCGACGACGGCCGCGGCGCACUCAUGGUCCACGGCUCGUGCAACGGCCUGCUCCUCCUCAGCUUCCACAGGUCCUUCUUCGUCUGCAACCCUGCGACGCGCCAAGGCGCUCGCCUGCCGCUGCUGCUUCAGGAUGGCCGACAUGUCGUGGGGUUCUACCAGCACGCCGCUUCCGGGGAGUACCGGGUGCUGUACCACGAGGCUGAGCGCCUGGGCCUCCAGAGCCGGCACUCCUACUACGUCCUCACGGUGGGAUCCCCGCAGGCCAGGAGCAUCGACCUUCGCACGUCGUCGGCUGAAGUGGGCGCUGGGCUGAUGAGAGGGCUGGAGAGCUCUCGCACAUCGCCGCCCGUCCUUAAUGGCAGCCUGCACUGGUCGCCGCAACAGAGCCAAGGGGGCGACAUACUGGUGUUCGACCAAGCUGCUGAGUCAUUCAGGCGGAUCUCUCCUCCCGCGGAGGCGAGCCUGACCAAGGACGACCACACGCAGCUGUUUGAGAUGGAGGGCAAGCUUGCCAUGUUCUGCUCGCCCCAAUUCGCAAAGAACAUGGCGGUUUGGUUCAUGGAUGACUACAAGGAGAUGCGCUGGGUCUGGAAGUACUGGGUUAAGCUGUCCUUCAAGCUUGCUUAUCAACCUAUACCGUUGCCACUUUGUCCGAUUGUCCUGUAUCAAGAGGGGGAUAUGCUGGUGUCCGAGGAAGUCUCUGACAAGGUGUUGCAUUGUGAUAAGACAGGUAAAUCGCAGGGGCCUGUUGACUGCUCUGCUGGGGGCACCAGAGUUACUCCACAUAUGCUCAAAGAAAGCCUUGUCCUCCAUGAGUUCCUUCAGACGCAGCGGAAUGAUGGUGCCUGUGAAUGGUUCUCCGAGGUCGAGUUCGCUGAUGGCUCGGAUACUGCAAUCUCUGGUGAUGAAACUCAAACUGAUUAA